Molecule: ribosomal RNA, 493 nt
Filed under: uncultured microorganism
Description: bacterial SSU rRNA
Rfam family: Bacterial small subunit ribosomal RNA
Source: RNAcentral
GAGUUUGAUCUUGGCUCAGAACGAACGCUGGCGGCGUGGAUAAGACAUGCAAGUCGAACGGGAGAAUUGCUAGCUUGCUAAUAAUUCUCUAGCGGCGCACGGGUGAGUAACACGUGAGUAACCUGCCCCGAGAGCGGGAUAGCCCUGGGAAACUGGGAUUAAUACCGCAUAGUAUCGAAAGAUUAAAGCAGCAAUGCGCUUGGGGAUGGGCUCGCGGCCUAUUAGUUAGUUGGUGAGGUAACGGCUCACCAAGGCGAUGACGGGUAGCCGGUCUGAGAGGAUGUCCGGCCACACUGGAACUGAGACACGGUCCAGACACCUACGGGUGGCAGCAGUCGAGAAUCAUUCACAAUGGGGGAAACCCUGAUGGUGCGACGCCGCGUGGGGGAAUGAAGGUCUUCGGAUUGUAAACCCCUGUCAUGUGGGAGCAAAUUAAAAAGAUAGUACCACAAGAGGAAGAGACGGCUAACUCUGUGACAGCAGCCGCGGUAAG